RNAcentral lists this ribosomal RNA (465 nucleotides) under uncultured bacterium. Its description in RNAcentral is "bacterial SSU rRNA". It matches the Rfam family "Bacterial small subunit ribosomal RNA", at positions 33 to 507 of the family's 1533-position model. The record is from RNAcentral.
ACGACGCUGGCGGCGUGCCUAACACAUGCAAGUCGAACGGGGUGAUUCGCUUCGGUGGAUCACUUAGUGGCGAACGGGUGAGUAACGCGUGAGAAACCUGCCUCCCAGUGGGGGACAACAGUUGGAAACGACUGCUAAUACCGCAUAAUGUAUUCGGAGGGCAUCCUCUGGAUACCAAAGCUUAAUGUGCUGAGAGAUGGUCUCGCGUCUGAUUAGAUAGGUUGGUGAGGUAACGGCUCACCAAGUCGACGAUCAGUAGCCGGACUGAGAGGUUGAACGGCCACAUUGGGACUGAGACACGGCCCAGACUCCUACGGGAGGCAGCAGUGGGGAAUAUUGCACAAUGGGCGCAAGCCUGAUGCAGCAACGCCGCGUGAGGGAAGACGGUUUUCGGAUUGUAAACCUUUGUCUUUGGUGAAGAAGAAAGUGACGGUAACCAAGGAGGAAGCCACGGCUAACUACGUG